UGUGUAGGCGGGAGUGCAAGUCAGAUGUGAAAACUAUGGGCUCAACCCAUAGCCUGCAUUUGAAACUGUGCUUCUUGAGUGUCGGAGAGGUAAAUGGAAUUCCCAGUGUAGCGGUGAAAUGCGUAGAUAUUGGGAGGAACACCAGUGGCGAAGGCGAUUUACUGGACGACAACUGACGCUGAGACACGAAAGCGUGGGGAGCAAACA
RNAcentral lists this ribosomal RNA (207 nucleotides) under uncultured Bacillota bacterium. RNAcentral's name for it is "uncultured Firmicutes bacterium partial 16S ribosomal RNA". It matches the Rfam family "Bacterial small subunit ribosomal RNA", at positions 568 to 774 of the family's 1533-position model. The record is from RNAcentral. Lineage: Bacteria; Bacillati; Bacillota.